CCCUUAGAUGUUCUGGGCCGCACGCGUGCUACACUGAGUGGAUCAGCGGGUCAGGUUGCGCGAAAGCGUUUCCUAAUCUUUAAAUCCGCUCGUGAUGGGGAUUGACGGUUGCAAUUUUCUGUCAUGAACGAGGAAUACCUUGUAAGCGCGGGUCAUCAUCCCGCGCUGAAUACGUCCCUGCCCUUUGUACACACCGCCCGUCGCUCCUACCGAUUGAAUGGUCCGGUGAAAUCUUCGGAUUGAGACUUUGAUUUCUUCACGGAAAACGCUGUUUUAAGAAGUUGAUUAAACCUUACCAUUUAGAGGAAGGUGAAGUCGUAACA
RNAcentral lists this ribosomal RNA (323 nucleotides) under uncultured eukaryote. Its description in RNAcentral is "partial 18S ribosomal RNA". It matches the Rfam family "Eukaryotic small subunit ribosomal RNA", at positions 1470 to 1796 of the family's 1831-position model. The record is from RNAcentral.